This 690-nucleotide ribosomal RNA is filed under the name Montenegrina attemsi attemsi. RNAcentral's name for it is "partial 12S ribosomal RNA". Lineage: Eukaryota; Metazoa; Mollusca; Gastropoda; Stylommatophora; Clausiliidae. The record is from RNAcentral.
GCACUGACUGGUUGAAGUAUUCUUUACUUAUUUAUAAAUUUAUGGUAAGUACUUUUAAGUCCAUCUUUUUGAAAAUGUUAGAUCUUCAGGCGGAAAAUAUUUUUUACUGUAACUCGCCUUAAUUCUUACUUAUUUGCUGCACUUUGAUUUGUAUUAAUCUUUUUAAAAAUGUUAAAUCCACCUUAUGGUGAAUUCACGACAACGGUAUACAAGCUUUAAAAGUAAGUAGACUAUUCUUGGUGGCUAUCAUUUAUAUGGUAAGUUCCCCUAAAAUACUACAAUCAGCCGCCAUAAUAUUUAAGUUUGAACCUAAUGAUAGCUUUAGUCCUUGUUUUAGAUGUGUUUCGCUCCGAAUAAUUGGGUCUCUAAUCCAGGUUUAAUUUCUAGAGUUUGGGGUAUUCAAAAAUAAAAUUAAAUUUUAGUAAUUAUUAGUAUUUCACCACAUAAUAAUUCCUAAAUAUCAAGAUAAUUGAAAAUAAAACAAUUACUAUAAAUUAGCCUAAUAGGUAUGACCGCGGUUGCUGGCACCUAAUAAACCUAGGCUAUAUAAUUAUCUAAAUUUAAAUUUCUUUAAUGUUGUAAUAUUUUUAACUGGAUAAAUUUAUAGCAUUCCAUAUUAAAUUAGACUAUACACUUAUAGCUUCAUCAUAUUAAAGUGGGGUAUCUAUGGGGGUAUUUAACCAUUUUAGA